Molecule: ribosomal RNA, 497 nt
Filed under: uncultured bacterium
Lineage: Bacteria
Description: partial 16S ribosomal RNA
Rfam family: Bacterial small subunit ribosomal RNA
Source: RNAcentral
GAUGAACGCUGGCGGCGUGCCUAAUACAUGCAAGUCGAGCGAACGGACGAGAAGCUUGCUUCUCUGAUGUUAGCGGCGGACGGGUGAGUAACACGUGGAUAACCUACCUAUAAGACUGGGAUAACUUCGGGAAACCGGAGCUAAUACCGGAUAAUAUUUUGAACCGCAUGGUUCAAAAGUGAAAGACGGUCUUGCUGUCACUUAUAGAUGGAUCUGCGCUGCAUUAGCUAGUUGGUAAGGUAACGGCUUACCAAGGCAACGAUGCAUAGCCGACCUGAGAGGGUGAUCGGCCACACUGGAACUGAGACACGGUCCAGACUCCUACGGGAGGCAGCAGUAGGGAAUCUUCCGCAACGGGCGAAAGCCUGACGGAGCAACGCCGCGUGAGUGAUGAAGGUCUUCGGAUCGUAAAACUCUGUUAUUAGGGAAGAACAUAUGUGUAAGUAACUGUGCACAUCUUGACGGUACCUAAUCAGAAAGCCACGGCUAACUACGUG